AGUGGGAUAGUUGGGUCAAAUGGUAGCUCCAUUCCAGGUUUUUCAAGGAAUCUCCAUAUUGCUUUCCAGAUAGGCUGCACCAAUUUGCAGUCCCACCAGCAAU
Molecule: microRNA precursor, 103 nt
Filed under: Marmota monax (woodchuck)
Lineage: Eukaryota; Metazoa; Chordata; Mammalia; Rodentia; Sciuridae
Source: RNAcentral